UUUUAAUCUUAGGGUUUUAUACCCAAACCAAAACUACAGAUUUUCUGUUCGCUUUUUUUUUUUUAUAUUUUUAUUAUUGUAAUCUGGAAGUAAAAGCAGACGGAUUGUUCUUCGUGCUUCGGAUUGAAAAGAUGGGUUCGGGAUGCGCAAAGCUUUGCAGUUCUUGCGGUCUGCAAAUCCCGAGAGAACUGUGUCAAUGAGCGGCGGGGCGCUUCAAUUCGCAUCACGUUGGAGGCUUGGAGCUCUGCUUGGUUCUAGAAUUCGCAAAAAUCUUAUUUGGUGUUGCGCAGUCUCUAGAUUGAAUAUCUGGAGUUGCGCGAAUUGGCUUCGUGUCAUGGCCGGCAUGGAGAUAGAUUCGCCACCGGAGCGGGAUAACUUGCUUCCCCCCCGCGAUCGUAUCGUCCAGAGACUUGCGUUUCAUGGCAUUCCACAAGUGCAUCUUCAACAAUUUCAGCUGAGUCUGGUUGCUUUUGUCAGGGAUAACAAAUGCAUGUUAUCUGAAAUUGUAUCAUCCAUCUUGCCAACUAGUUUGGACUUGAGCGAGGCUCAGAUGCUGCAAAACAGAGAACUUGCUGGAGUAAAUGUGAAAUUUACAGUAAAGGAAUUAUUUGAGGAAAGCAUUUUGUGGUUGCAAUGGUUAAUGUUUGAUGGUGAUCCACAAGAAUACAUGAGUAGCUUGGCACAAAGUGCUGAAGGCCAACGUGCAGUAUGCGGAGCUGUUUGGGGUCAAAAUGACUUGGCAUACCGUUGCCGCACAUGCGAGCAUGAUCCAACUUGUGCAAUCUGUGUUCCUUGUUUUCAGAAUGGCAAUCACAAGGAUCAUGAUUAUAACAUUAUGUAUACUGGCGGUGGAUGUUGUGAUUGUGGUGAUGAGACUGCUUGGAAAAAAGAGGGCUUUUGUUCUGAGCAUAAAGGUACCGAACAGAUCCGACCCCUACCACAAGAGUUGGCAAAUUCUAUAGGUCCCGUCCUUGAUCCUCUUCUUUUGUGCUGGAAGAAGAAGCUUCUGUCUGUAGAACACAGGCAUGAUGAAGAGGCUGAUCACGGUGAUGCAUGCAAGAAAGCUGCAGAUGGAUUAUCUUCUGCAAUCAUUCAAAUGUUGAUAGACUUCUGCAAUUGUAGCGAAAGUCUGCUCAGUUUUAUCUCUAGAAGACUGAUGUCAUGCUCUGGUUUACUCGAUGUUCUUUUAAAGGCGGACAAGCACUUGGAUAAGGAAGUUGUGAAGAGGUUACGUGAGUUGCUUUUAAAACUUCUUGGGGACCCUCUUUUUAAAUAUGAUUUUGCAAAGGUUUUCAUACAAUACUACCCGACUAUUGUAAAUGAAAUGAUCAAAUAUUCUAGUGAUUCAUACUCGGAGAGAGAUCCGAUGCUAGCAACUUUCUCUGUGCAAAUAUUUACAGUACCAACUUUAACUAUGCGACUUGUAACUGAGGUAGAUCUGCUGUCUGUUCUUCUCGGAUGCUUGAAGGACCUUUUCCUUUCCUGUGCUGAUGCAAAUGGUCAUCUACAGUUUAGUAAAUGGGGCAACAUGUAUGAAACAAUUCGUUUGAUUGAAGAUUUUCGCUAUGUCAUGAGUCACCAAGAAGUUCCUGCUUAUAUUGUUUGUAAAAGGCCAGAUAUCUCGAAAAAAUGGAUUUUUCUAUUAAGACUUGUACAGGGCAUGGAUGCGCUGAAGAGAGUAACUGUUCUUCACUCAGAGGAGGAAAAUGAAAAUCUUUUUGCACCUUUUGCUCUUGGGCAAUGUCUAUCGAAUGUUAAUUCACUUUUGGUAGGAGGGGCUUUUUACAAUGACAAAAAUGGAUGCUUAGAUAAGCAAGAUCUAGUUGAUAUUGACAGGCAACGUCAUGCCAAAGUGGGAAGGGUUUCUCAAGAAAGUUCAGCAAGCAGGACGGGUGCUUUGGAGGAUUUAAUUUUUAAUGAAACACGUUUUGUUGGGGAAAAUGGUACGUCUUUUCCCUCUUCUGUUGUAUGGCUGAUUUCUGAAUGCCUGAAAGCCAUCGAAUGUUGGUUGAGACCAGAGAUUGAAUCCUUAUGCUAUUCAUCAUCUUUUGGUGUAGCCACCACCAGUGCGUCUAAUAUAUCAUCUGCAAGAAAGAAAUUGUUUAAGGUCAGGAAAGGACCAAAUAGCAUAAAUGGAACUUCUAUGACCAGGAUGGAUAUGGAUGGAGAGGAAAUUCCUUUUACUAGUGGUGGCAAUGUGAGUUUUGGGAGUGCUGGUAUGCCAGAAGCUGAAGGAGAUAUUAGUGAGACCAAUGAAUUGUUUCCUGGGAAUAGUUAUAGCACCAGAGUUUCAGAUGAUACUCUAAUGGAGGUAGAGUAUGGAAGGGAGUCGGCAACAUUUAGCAUAUUGAACAUGACUGAUUGGCCUGCUAUCAAUUUUGACGUUGGUUCACAAGCAAUAUCUUUUCACAUUCCUUUGCAUCGUUUACUUUCUUUAUUGUUGCGAAAAGCAUUGAAAGCUUGUGAUUUAAUUGAACUACCGGGCAAGACAAAUGGUGCUACAACUACUAUUCCUAUUCAUAAUCAUGAAUUCUUCAGAAAAGCUUUGGCUGGGUUACAUCCUUGUGGUUUUUCAGGCUUUAUUAUGGAACAUCCUCUUCAAUUGAUGGUAUUUUGUGCUCAAGUUCGUGCUGGCAUGUGGAGAAAGAAUAGUGAUGCUCCCAUUUUGUGUUCUCAGUGGUUGGAACAAGGUCUGGAAUCUGAUCUGUUUUUGUUGCAAUGUUGUGCUGCAUUAGCUCCUCCUGAUUCUUUUGUUGAGAGUGUGCUGGAAAGAUAUGGAUUAUCAAAUUAUAUGUCCUUAAAUCUUGCAGAAUAUGAUGAGUAUGAAUCCGUCCUAGUACAAGAAAUGCUUACUCUAUUCAUACGCAUUGUUAAAGAACGUAGAUUUUGUGGGUCAUCUACGGCUGCAAAUCUACAGAGAGAAUUGGUUUAUAGGUUGGCUAUUGGUGAUGCAACUCAUAGCCAGCUAGUUAAAUCUCUGCCUCGGGAUCUGUCUAAGAGUGAUAAACUCCAAAAUGCUGUUGACCUGCUUGCAGUAUACAGCAAUCCAUCUGGAAUGAAGCAGGGAAAGUAUUCACUACGAAAAGCAUAUUGGAAAGAACUGGACCUGUAUCAUCCUCGUUGGGGCUCAAGAGAUCUACAAGUUGCGGAGGAGAGAUUCUUCCGUUUCUGUAAAGUGUCUGCCUUGAAUGCUCAGCUACCGAGAUGGACUCCUAUUUUUGAGCCUCUAUUUUGUGUAUGUAGAAUAGCUACAUCAAAAAUGGUUCUCCAAAUUGUUCGGGUUGUUUUUUUUUAUGCCUGUUUUUCCGAGAGAUCAUCCAUUUCCCGAGCUCCAGACGCAGUGCUCAUUACAGCAUUGCACUUGGUUUCCUUAGCAUUAAAUAUCUGUGAAACACAACUUUCCCUUACUGAUGAUCCUCCUCCAAUACUAACCAGUGCUAGUGAAGAAUUUGAUUUGGGUUCCUGCAGUGUAUCUGUGCUCUGGAAAAAUCAAAGCAUGCUAUCAUUGUUAGUUUCCUUAAUGAGGAAAUACAAGGAACAAACUGAUGAUGUGUAUUCUGAGACAAGCCAAUGUAACAUUUCUUCUUUGAUUGAGGCUUUACUGAAGAAGUUUGCACAGUUAAAUGCUAAUUGUAUGUCUGAGCUCCAGCGUUUGGCUCCUAGUGUAAUCUGUAAUGAGCCACAAGUCAAUUGUGCUAAUCAGAGUUUGGCAUUGAACACUGACAUAGAUGAGAGAAAAUUAAAAGCACGGCAGCGUCAGGCGGCCAUAUUGGAAAAAAUGAAAGCAGAGCAGUCCAAAUUUAUUGAAAGUCUUAGCUCCAAUAACAUUGAGCAAGAAUCGUACAAGAAGAAGGAAUCUUUUGAGAAAGUUGAAGUUAGAGAACAGUCAUUACCUGUUUGCUCUCUGUGCCAUGAUCCUGAUUCUUCAAGUCCAUUAUGUUUACUGAUUCUUCUCCAGAAAUCUAAGUUAACUAGUUUUGUAGACCGAGGUCCCCCAAUUUGGGAAGAUGCAGAGCAGUUACGCAGGGAGGUCAGUUCAGCUGGGAAGCUAAAGUCAGUUGAUUCUUCUGGCCCCUGCACAUUCAUUCCACUUCAGUUGUCCCAGAUCGCAGGUCCUGAAGUUGAUCAUGAUGUUGAGCCCAUAGAAAUCGAUACAUUUUUUAAUUUCAUUAGAGACCAGAUUCCUGAUAUUGGAAACUUUCAACUACCUAAGGUUUCACAGGAUAAUGCCAAAGAUCCUUCCUUUUGCCUUGAACUGAUGGAAAAUUAUCUUUUCCAUUCUAUCAUGGAAGAUGUACAUGAAAGCCAGUCUUAUUCACAUUCUACAACUGGUGAACAGAACUCAACUUCUGUUGUAGAUUCCAAUAUAACUAGAGAUUCGGGUUCUGUGCUGCAGGAAUAUGUUGCUUGUCUAUCAAGAAUAUCUUCUAAGCAACAAAGCUCUUCUUUGUAUGAUAUUUUGCAUCAUGGCAAUCUCUCAUCAAAAUCUAAGGGCACAGUUGCUAGAGUUAUUAGAUUUGGUCCUAAAGAUUGUGAUGGAAUUCACAUUUCCUCUUGCGGGCAUGCUGUGCAUCAGGACUGUCAUGAGAGAUAUUUAGGAUCAUUAAAGCAAAGGAACAUAAGGAGGCUUGGAUUUGAAGGAGGGCAUAUCAUUGACCCCGAUCUGGGGGAAUUGCUUUGCCCCGUAUGCCGCAGAUUUGCAAAUUCAGUCCUUCCCGCUGUGCCUUGCCCUGCUGAUAAAUAUGGGAAGAGUGUGGAAGCCUCUCCCAAAAUUGCAGGAGUGAGUAACGUCUCCCAGCUUCCCCUGGCAUUAUCUCUUCUUCACAGUGCGGGCCAAAAGGCUGGACAUGGGAGAUUCCUUAAAAAUUCUUUUGGCAAACUGAGAGAAACUAUUAAACCAGCUUUGGAGCCUUCGCUGCACAAAUUGUAUACACUAUAUUAUCCAUAUAAUUAUAAUGAUUUAUCAUCUUCUGGAAGGGUCAGUCAAUCAUUAGUGCUAUGGGACACCCUCAGGUAUUCCCUUGUAUCGACAGAAAUUGCUGCUCGUGGAAGGGUGAGGGCAUCAACUGCUAAUUCUACUUUGAAAUCUUUAUAUGGCGAGCUUCAUUCUUCUAGUGGAUUUAUAUUGCCAUCGCUGCUUAAUGUUGCUAAAAGCACUUGUAGUUCGAAUUCGAUUGAAGUGCUCCUUAGGUUUAGAGGCAUUCAACUUUUGUCAAAAUCUAUUUGUUUUGGCGUGUCAGAGGAUAGCAAUUUGUCAAAUUCCGACAAGCGAAGAGGGUCAUUAAAACUGGAGCAUACUGAAAGUGGAGAAUCCUUUCCAGAUAUUCAAUUUUGGAAGAGAGCUACUGAUCCAAUCCUUGCUCACGAUCCAUUUUCUUCAUUAAUGUGGGUUCUAUUUUGUCUUCCAUCUUCUUUUAUGCAAUCCAAUGAAUUCUUUAUCCCUCUGGUUCAUCUCUUCUAUGUCGUUUCUCUUAUUCAGUCUCUCAUUACAUGCUAUUGCAAAGAUUUUUUUGAUGCAUCACAUUUCUGUGAUUCUCUUCUCUGUGAUUUGUGCAAAGUGUUGGGGAAAUCUUCACGAGUGAAGAAAUACUUUGUUUCAAACUAUAUUGAUCCUUCCUGUCAUCCGAAAGAUAUGAUUCGUAGGUUAACAUUUCCUUUUCUUAGACGAUGUGCAUUACUCUGGAAGUUACUACAGUCAUCAAACACAGCUAUUUUUAAUACUUCAAAUAUCUGGGAAGGAUUAAAUCCACAUGCAAAGACUGAUACAUUGGAGGUUGACAAUGCUAAUUACUUUAGAAUGGAGCUUGAUGGAAUAAAGGAGUUGGAGGAUUUAUUUCAUGUUUCAUCAUUUGAAUUGAUUCUUAAGGAUGAAGUUGUGAAUUCCUUGGCUUUGAAAUGGUGCAAACACUUUUGUGAUGAAUUGAAGACGGAGAGAUCUUGGGGCAUCUUAUAUUAUACUCCUGCAGUACCAUUUAAGUUGAUGCAGUUACCAAGGAUCUACCAACAUCUUUUGCAGAGGUAUGUUAAAGUUAAGUGUUCUGAAUGCAAAUCUAUUUCAGAGGAACCUGCUCUUUGCUUGCUUUGUGGAAAGCUAUGUUCUCCAAGCUGGAAAUCCUGUUGCAGGGCAAGUAGAUGCUUAAACCAUGCAAUUUCUUGUGGUGCUGGCAUUGGCGUGUUUUUGUUGGUCCGGAAAACUACGAUUUUACUUCAGCGGUGUUCAAGGCAAGCUUUUUGGCCGCCUCCUUAUUUAGAUGCCUUUGGGGAAGAGGACAUUGAUGUGUGCCGAGGAAAACCAUUGUUCUUAAACACUGAACGCUAUGCUGCGCUUACUUAUUUGGUGGCUUCUCAUGGUCUUGACCGGACUUCUGAAGUUCUUCGGCAGACAACAAUUAGUGUUUUUGGCUCUGAUUAAAUUUCUUGAAGAUUUUUGCAUUGAAGGCAGGUGUGGACCCAGGUAGGGUCCAGGGGGGCAAUUGCCCCUCCUUAAUUUGGCUUUUUGCCCCUCCUGAAAUAUCAGUUUUGCCCCUACUGAAAUAUUACUUUACCUUUUGUUGCCCUAGCCCCUCCCACGUUGGGUCUAGGGGGACAGUUGCCACUCCACCCACCCCGAAAAAGAGGCUGGUUCCGCCCCUGUGUUCAGGUUAAGAAUUGGAGUCUAAAAAAUAGUGGAAAACCAAUUCAGGUUAGUCCAAGGGGAAGAAUAUAUGAUUCUGAACUCCAACUGUUCGUCCUCCAACUGUUCGUUCUGGUUUUUAAAUUCAAAUGUGUAGUCUUUUUUGUGUUCAAAUGCCAUCCAUCUUCACAAUCCUCCAUCUGUCUCGUUCUGUGCCUGCAUAUUUUAACUCAACGUAUCUAUUUAAAUAUUUGUAAGGUGCUAUGCUUCCUUUGUACAUAUAUAAAAUGUCAAUAUAAGUGAACAUUUUAUUGAAUUCAUUCCUCUUUUCAUGAUCUGCAACUCUUCUCUGGUUAUUAUGCUUUUCUUCAGAUCUUCAU
Molecule: RNA transcript, 6993 nt
Organism: Phalaenopsis equestris
Lineage: Eukaryota; Viridiplantae; Streptophyta; Magnoliopsida; Asparagales; Orchidaceae
Gene name: E3 ubiquitin-protein ligase PRT6
Exons: 20
Source: RefSeq, a predicted model, not a curated record